GCCUCAGAUAACAUUUUCACUAAGGAAAAAGUUGUUUCAAAUCACCUCCCGAACCACCCCUUUCAAGGUGUUACAACAUUUUUGGGACACCCUGUAUACCUGGCGUUGGAGCUACCACGUAUCUUUUACGGGAGAGAUGGUCCAUUCCAACCUAACCUGAAACUUCUUUCAUUAAUAUCUCAUCACGCCUGCAAUAUUUUCUGAAUUUAAAGGCAUUUUUCUAAUGUAAAUCGCAUAUAAGUUUUCGAAUAAAACCAAAAUCAAUCAAAUCGGUCCACGAACAACUGAGAUAUCGUAAUACAUGUCAUGAGACUGUCAAAAACGGCUUGUUCUCGUUCUCCCGGUUUUAUUUCAUCAAGGAAUUUUUUGUCAACACAAUAGGAGCUAAGGCCGUUCGUCGAUUCGUCGACUCUCGGAAUCGCUCGUGACGGCCGCUCAUGUCGCUCAUUCAUAACCUGUGAAGUGUCAAAUAUUUUACACUAUUGAAUUAUUCUUGUUUUGUAAUUAAAGUGUGUACUUUUUUAAUUUCUUUAUACCAGAAAAAUGUUUUCAAUUUUAAUAAAUUACAGCCAGAGUUGUAAAGUAUUGAUUCAUCAAUUUUAAUUACAAGAACUUCUAGAAACGAAGGGUAGUCACCAGGCUUGGAAGUUGUCCCGAGAAGGUUAUAGACGGAGAUAAAAUUGUGAAGUGUCAAUCAAAAGCCAUAAGAUUACAAAAAUUAUGGCCGACCGCUUGCAAUGUAGAGCUCACCAUAUUAGUGAAAUAAUUGAAACAUAAGAUGAUGCGGUGUGCACAACAUGAAUUUACUAAGCCAAGCAAGGUCGUGUUGAUGAAUAAGAAUUAUUUUAAAACACAAAAUAAUGAAAGUGUACUGAUAUUGUCAAAGUUUUAAACUGACAAAUUAUAUGAAAGUCUGCAAGAGAGAAAGUAUGGGUAUUGAUGAUCUGAGAAUGCUUUGCCUGGCCACACCAAGUAUUUGACUUCCAGGUCACAGACAUCUAGGCAAAUGUCUAAACAGUCUCAGUUUGUGGUUGAUACACUAUUUAGCUUCUUCAUUUCACCGCCAAAGUGCGGAGCAGUCAGUUUAACAAUAAUAAUUUAAACAAAAUAUUGUGGUAAUCUUGACCACAGUUACAUGAAUCUGAAAAUGCAAAAUAAUGUAUAUCUGACUAAAUACUAAUAUAUGUCAAUUUAUAUAAAAUAUGUUUAUGACUUCCAGAUUGUAGAAAUUGCGACUCCAAGUUAGUAUAAUUUAUUAUGGCUUCCAUUAUGGCAUACAUAUGAGUAAAUAUAGUAAUUACUUCUUCAGUAAGAACCGAAGGGCCUCCUCUAUCAAUAGAAUGGGAGCCUAUAGCCAGAUAUGUAAAUUUUAAUGGAAUUAUUAACACAAUUGGAUAAAUAUUCACUUUCAAAGAUUUCCAGAAAACAAGUCAUGCCAAUGGAAGGGUCAUGAAGAUUACUAUCGUUAUCACAAAUUUCACAUCUGUUUUUGAUUUCAGUAAAAGAAAAGAAUCUUGCUGAUUUCGUAAAUACAUGUUUUAAUCGAAUAUUUUUCUCUGCAUGAACUACUUCAUUGUAUGAAACAUGAUAAUUACAACCAGAUAAAAGUCUGUAAUUUCUAAAUCGUUUCUCUAAUUUUUCAGUUGAAAAUUUUCCUGCUAAAAGAUAAGGUAUGUCAAAAUUUUGAAAGCAGUACCCUAUGAGUAGUAAAAGAACUCUAGUACUUUGAUGUUAAGCUUUGAAAGUAUCUAAUGUUAAAUGACCAUCUGUUUCUAAAUUUGUCCAAGAAUCUAACCAUGUUAAACAUUUCUUUAAAUAUUCAUAUCUAAAAUCAUUAACAUUUAAAAUCGGUUUACAAAAUUCGUUUCUUUUCCUGUUACCUUUAACACUACUUUUAUUAUUCACAAUAUCUUACCAGUUGCGAAAUAUUUCUAAAAAAUGGCCAGUAUCUGUACAAUUAAAAUUUUUGCUUAUCAAAAUUAUUAGGAAACAAUGAUUUAUAAUUUAAUUUAUAAGCUUUUUUAAUAAUUAAAUAUUUUUCGUAAUCGUAAACCGUACGUAGAUCAUUAAAUUUAACUAAUCUUUGUUCAUUUAUAUAAAAGUCGGGGAAAAUAAAUUUUACCUACAUUUUUUUAAUUUAACCAGUUAUUUCUUAUAUUUCUCAUUAUAUGAACAAAGUCAAAAGAAAGAAAAAUGGUUUUAUUAGAUUGUGAAGGAUUAGGAAAACUUAUUUCAUUGUCAAAUAAUUUAUUGAACAUGUUUCUGUUCAUUCUAUGAUUAUCUGUUAAAAUGCAUAUUAUUUCAAAACCACAUUUCUGAAUAGAUUCUAUAAUUUUGUAAACAAUUGAGAUCAUUUCAUCUCCGGUAAUAACCGCUUAAAAACAGAUAAUAAUUGAACUAUUUCCAAAAGUUUAGCUUAUCAUGAAAGCUAAAAUAGGUUUUGCUAAUCCAUUACAAUUCAAACCGCAACCUGUAACUCUGUUUGAUCUAUACUGUAAUUUAGAACUAAUAUAUAUUUCGUCAAUUAAUAAAAUUACUACUUUCUCUUUGUCCGUUAAAUUUGAAGAUAUAUUAAUGAGAUAAGAUUCGUUUUGAAUAUCAUUGUGUGCUGUUGUAUUUAUAUUAGAUGAAAUAUGUUGUGAAUACCGUUUAUACGGUAAAAUAAAAAAGUUUCUUAAUAAAUUAUAUGCAGCUGAGGAUUGAGUAUAUCAUGAAAAAAGCCAUAAUAAUGGUGCAUGAAUUAUAUUGAUUGUUUUUAUUUUUUAUUUGCUGUAUUUGAUCUAUUAAUUAUUUUAAAUGUUUUGCAUGGGUGAAAUCCAUUGAUUCUGCAAUAAUAUAUGCCUUUUUGAGUUCAUCUAGAGACUUCUCCAGAUGUUCUUCAAUGAGACAUAUACCACUGUUAGAAUCUGCAUGCUGUACUUAUUUGUAUCUUUUUAAUAUAUUUUGAAGUUGAGACCAUCCACAUAAUUCUUAUCAAUAGGCAGUACCCACUCUAAAUCAUUAUGUAAUAAUUCCUUAUCUUUUUGAAAAACUUGUAAUUUCAUACUGUCAUUGAUUACAAUCUGUGCAUUAAAUAUCAAAAGUUCAGAAUUAUCAUUGCAUACAAGUACGUAAAAAGAAAUUCUUGAAUUUAUUAUUUUGAUACUCCAACAGUUAGAAAUUACAAACUUUUCUUCAUAAGUUUUAACUAAUUCUGAAAAAUCACUGAUCAAAACUGACGUAAGAAAUUCCUCAAUUAAAUUUUCAUGCUGUUUCCUUAUUUUUUCUUGACGCUCUGCCGGGUCUUUUCUCUGGGGUAGCACAUUUUUUGUAAAAUAAAAUGGGGAAUUCGGAAAAAUGGAUGGUCUCGAUUCGUUAUAAUCCUUGAACAUCUCAACAAAACAUUCUGCAGUACACCAUUGAGAGAUAGAAUACCCUCGUAUCUUAUAAUAUCAGUUUCUGCAAAAUACAGACAGCAGAAUAUUUUGUUGGUGUCUAAUUCUUACGAGGAAUAGCGGCUAUCUAUUUUGUUCGCAAUUCCUCAUCUUUAGGGACUAAAAAUAUCAAAUUAUAA
Long non-coding RNA from Hylaeus anthracinus, 3553 nucleotides. RefSeq lists it as uncharacterized. Lineage: Eukaryota; Metazoa; Arthropoda; Insecta; Hymenoptera; Colletidae. The record is from RefSeq and is a predicted model, not a curated record. The transcript has 4 exons.